UACGGGAGGCAGCAGUGGGGAAUAUUGCACAAUGGGCGCAAGCCUGAUGCAGCCAUGCCGCGUGUAUGAAAAAGGCCUUCGGGUUGUAAAGUACUUUCAGUCGUGAGGAAGGUGUUAAGGUUAAUAACCUUAGCAAUUGACGUUAGCGACAGAAGAAGCACCGGCUAACUCCGUGCCAGCAGCCGCGGUAAUACGGAGGGUGCGAGCGUUAAUCGGAAUUACUGGGCGUAAAGGGCACGCAGGCGGUUAAUUAAGUUGGAUGUGAAAUCCCCGGGCUUAACCUGGGAAUGGCAUUCAAGACUGGUUAGCUAGAGUCUUGUAGAGGGGGUAGAAUUCCAUGUGUAGCGGUGAAAUGCGUAGAGAUGUGGAGGAAUACCGGUGGCGAAGGCGGCCCCUGGACAAAGACUGACGCUCAUGUGCGAAAGCGUGGGGAGCAAACAGGG
This 443-nucleotide ribosomal RNA is filed under the name uncultured bacterium. Its description in RNAcentral is "bacterial SSU rRNA". It matches the Rfam family "Bacterial small subunit ribosomal RNA", at positions 340 to 777 of the family's 1533-position model. The record is from RNAcentral.